This 401-nucleotide ribosomal RNA is filed under the name uncultured cyanobacterium. Its description in RNAcentral is "bacterial SSU rRNA". It matches the Rfam family "Bacterial small subunit ribosomal RNA", at positions 382 to 798 of the family's 1533-position model. The record is from RNAcentral. Lineage: Bacteria; Bacillati; Cyanobacteriota.
CCUGACGGAGCAAGACCGCGUGAGGGAGGAAGGCUCUUGGGUUGUAAACCUCUUUUAUCAGGGAAGAAGAUCUGACGGUACCUGAUGAAUCAGCAUCGGCUAACUCCGUGCCAGCAGCCGCGGUAAUACGGAGGAUGCAAGCGUUAUCCGGAUUUAUUGGGCGUAAAGCGUCCGCAGGUGGUUUUCCAAGUCUGCUGUUAAAGCGCAGAGCUUAACUCUGUAACGGCGGUGGAAACUGAGAGACUAGAGUAUGGUAGGGGUUGCGGGAAUUCCCAGUGUAGCGGUGAAAUGCGUAGAUAUUGGGGAGAACACCAGCGGCGAAAGCGCGCAACUGGGCCAUUACUGACACUCAUGGACGAAAGCUAGGGGAGCGAAAGGGAUUAGAUACCCCUGUAGUCCUA